AAUCCAAUGCAAAGGUUAGAGACUACAAUAUAUGGAUUUUGAUUUCGGCAUUUUUUAAUUAUGUUCAAUAGUUUAGAUAUUCAAAUUGGAUGACCUAUCAUUGAUUUUGAAGAACAAAUGACUAUCUCAGCUAUCCUGUUUAGAGCACCCUAGCUCUACUCUCUCUCCAUAUAUACAAUGGUAUGCUAAACCGGCCCGUACUGGACUGGUCCGAUAUGGCGGUGGAAAACGGUUUCGGCCCCAAAGAGGCCGGAACCGAGCGAUAUAGAAGUGUACCAGUGCGAACCGGACCGGUUUGCACCUGUACAGCUAUCUUCUUGUCGCUUUAAGCUCUUGCAAGUCUUGGUCCGGUUCACACCGGUACGACUAUCUUCUUGUCACUUUAAGUUUCUGCAGGUCUUGGCCUCUUCUUGUCACCCUUUUCCUUCUCUAAUCUCUUCAAAUCUGAUUCGACCUUCAAGGCUCCUUCCAGCACAUCUUUAUAACUACUGAAGAGGUGAGAUGACAAACGAGAUCGAAUCGGAUAUCUCAGACCUUGUUCAAAUCUAUUAGCCUUGCUCCUUUCGAACUCUGAGAGUUGGGGAUAGAGUCGGCCUAAUUUGUUAAAUUUGUUUGCAUGCUUUAAUAUUGUCAUGUCAUCCUUCUGCCCCAAAACC
This 656-nucleotide long non-coding RNA is filed under the name Phoenix dactylifera (date palm). RNAcentral describes it as "long non-coding RNA (PDAC_LNC019904)". The record is from RNAcentral. Lineage: Eukaryota; Viridiplantae; Streptophyta; Magnoliopsida; Arecales; Arecaceae.